RNAcentral lists this long non-coding RNA (1526 nucleotides) under Chrysemys picta bellii (western painted turtle). Its description in RNAcentral is "lncRNA (ENSCPBG00000007469.1)". The record is from RNAcentral. Lineage: Eukaryota; Metazoa; Chordata; Testudines; Emydidae.
CCGGCGGCGGGGCCUGGCCCGCUCGGCGAGGAGCAGGCGGAGGCCGCGGGGUGGGGGGAGGGGCAACAGGGGACUCCGGCACGUGCUGCCGGGGCGGCGAGCGGGAGCGGGGCUCCUACGCGGCGGCGGGAGGCGAGAGGCGGGUGGGGCCUGCCGGGGCGUUGGCCCCAGUCGGCGGCGAGGCGCGGGCUCGGGGCCCGCAGCGGCGUUGGCGUGAGCGGCUCCUUCCCGCAUGGCGGCUCCGCCCGGGGCAGGUGGCGCCUCCUGGGACGGGCCGUGACGGGCGGCGGGGAAGAGGUGGCCGCGGAGACCUCGAGGUUCCCGCCGAGGCGCGCUGGGCGGGGGCGGGUCAGCGCCGCGGGGGCCGGCGCUGCCUGGGAGGCCGUGACAGCGGGGCCGGGUUCACAGAAGAGCUCGCUUGGCACUGCCCAGUGUCCGCCUGAGGUGGGGUGUUGGGGCUGCCAGGCAGCCUGGGCCAGCCAUGGCUUUUACCAAUUACAGCAGCCUGAACCGUGCCCAGCUGACCUUCGAGUACCUGCAUACCAACUCAACCACUCAUGAGUUCUUGUUUGGUGCCCUUGCUGAGCUUGUAGAUAAUGCCAGGUAUGUAUUUGAGACUGUAUUUGUAUUGGGAAUUAAUUAAGUUGCUGUGGUUUAACUAGCUCACAUAUUUAGGGUAAGCAGCUGAGUGACCUUCACUACCAGUAGAUCUUAAGAAGAAAGAUGUAAUACAGAAGCUUAUGUUAUAGCUGAAUGGUGAUGGUGCACCUGUAUCCUACAUAAGAUACAGGCCCUGCCCAAGAGGAGGACGGGCCCCAUCUUGAAAAACUGAUAGUAUAAACAGCUAGAAAAUACACUGUGUGUUGGGAGACCAAGGAGGAUCAAUUUUAUAUCCUUUUUUCCCUAGCCUUUUGAUGUGGUUGUGCAUUGUUGUGCUUUGCAAAAGUGAAUUUAUGGCCAUUUUGAAGAAUAGUUAGGUCAUCUGGUGCAUUGGGAUAGGGAGGGAGGUUCCAGACACAAAGGGGAGCACAGACUCUGAAGAACUCUUCCUUGAGGAGAAGGUAAGUAAUGUAACGGAAGUAUUGAUGUCUUUCAAAAGCUGAAAGAAGCUUGAAAUUGGAGGCUUAUUCCAUCGUGAUGUACUAAGAUAUUUUUCCUUCAUGUACUCAUUUUUCCCUCCUAAAAUGAGUGUUUAUGAUGGAAUAGGUAUUUGCAUUGUAAUCAGAUUUAAUUAGUAUGCAGCAUCAGUGUCUUGUGGUGGAGUUUGGAUCCAAACAAGGGAAGGCCAAAAAUGCAAUAGUACACAAAAGCCUCUUGGAUUUCUUUGAGGGGUGCUGACACUUAGAGCCUUAGAGAGACAUGGUGGGUGAGGUAAUACCUUUUAUUGGACCAAUUUCUGUUGGUGAGAGACAAGCUUUCGAGCUUACGUAAACAUAGCUCUUGAAGAAAAGUUUUAUGUAAGCUCAUCUCUCACCAACAGAAGUUGGUCCAAUAAAAGAUACUACCUAAUUUGCUUUGUCUCUCUA